Long non-coding RNA from Gallus gallus (chicken), 381 nucleotides. RefSeq lists it as uncharacterized. The transcript is spliced from 3 exons. The record is from RefSeq and is a predicted model, not a curated record. Lineage: Eukaryota; Metazoa; Chordata; Aves; Galliformes; Phasianidae.
UGAAGAGGAAGUUUCUUCCCCUCUUUCUUAGCUCCCAAUUGCUAAAUCAAUUUCUCUGUGCUUUGCCAAGAGAUCUGUUUUAACAGUUAUGCAGGUAUUUCAAUCUGCAGAUGGGGAUUCUGCCAAUGAGAAUCAAUUAAAACAAUUGUCUUCUGCCUAUGGAUGGAAUUGCAGUUCCAGGAUAUUCGGCACCCUGAGAUCUGGGAAAGCAGAGGGUCUCUUCCUGGAUGCAUCCCUGUGAUUAAUCUGUAUUUAGACUUCUCAGCAAGAGUCCAGAUUUUUACAGCUGCUAAUCACCCACAGUUGUCAUUAACUUCAAUGGGUAACUCCUGCUGAAUCCGGGCUUUUCCACACCUGUUGGAUUUUCCAACUACUUAGUUU